Molecule: non-coding RNA, 235 nt
Organism: Pelobates cultripes (western spadefoot toad)
Lineage: Eukaryota; Metazoa; Chordata; Amphibia; Anura; Pelobatidae
Source: the annotation of a GenBank genome assembly
CGACGUGGGACAUGUUGCUGCCUCUCAUAAGUGACUGAAGGGGUUUUCACCCCUUCAGCAAUCGGGGAUUGGGAGGUGGGAGGGAGAGGGGAUUGUUUUCCUGGCACUGGAGUUUCCCUUUAAGAGCUGAUUGUACCUGGCUCUAAGUAUAAUGGUGUAUGUGCCUUUAAGAGGGAACAUAUCUUCUAUGGAGCAGGAUACACAGAAACUUAGUGAACUUAAAGGACCACUAUAG